CUCGGUUACCAAAUAGUAUUCUAACACAUUUCUUCUGAGUGAUAAAUAUUGGUUCAAGCCUGUUGUUACUAAGGCCACCCCAUACUGAUAUCCCAAAUCGCAAGUGUGAUUCAAAUAGUGUGUAGUACAGUUCUUUGUAGAGUUUUUCUGGAAUAAUGUGCCGUAUUCUACAAAUUUUCCCACUUUCACAUUUCAGCUUUGUGUUGAGCGACCGUAUAUGAGCAUCCCAUUUAAGCUGAUCAUCAAUAAUAACACCAAGAAACUUCACCUUUUUGACUUGCUUUAUUACUACAUUGUUUAGAGUCAAUUCUGCUAGAGUCCAAGUUUCUAUCAAAGAUUUGGAAGAUGGGUGAGUGGUGUGAUAUACGGUCAGUCAGUAUUCCAGAAGCUACUAUACUCUCUACGUCGUAACUACACUUGGGGAGACUGUCAAGGAUGUCAGAGAGUUCAGAUAGUGCAACAUUGACAUUACCACUUGGAGGACGGUACAUUACACCAACUGUUACUGGGGAAGUUGUACUACUUACGGCCACAAAAAGAGUUUCUAAAUGUUCAGUGAUAUGGGAUACAUUGCCGUUUACUCUGGCACUAAGAGUGUCACAAACAUAGAGAGCCACUCCAGUGCCCUUUUUUUUAUCUGGUAUUGUGUUUUGGUAGAAACUGUUGUAUCCAGUUAAUUGAUACAAACUGCUGGAUUCAGGACCUUCAUUUGU
Bolinopsis microptera is the source of this 713-nucleotide long non-coding RNA. RefSeq lists it as uncharacterized. The transcript has 3 exons. NCBI's taxonomy places the organism in Eukaryota, Metazoa, Ctenophora, Tentaculata, Lobata, Bolinopsidae. The record is from RefSeq and is a predicted model, not a curated record.